RNAcentral lists this unclassified non-coding RNA (378 nucleotides) under uncultured Brevibacteriaceae bacterium. RNAcentral describes it as "contains 16S-23S intergenic spacer region". Lineage: Bacteria; Bacillati; Actinomycetota; Actinomycetes; Micrococcales; Brevibacteriaceae. The record is from RNAcentral.
UCCGAGUUGACCCCGGCAGUCUCCUAUGAGUUCCCACCAUCACGUGCUGGCAACAUAGAACGAGGGUUGCGCUCGUUGCGGGACUUAACCCAACAUCUCACGACACGAGCUGACGACAACCAUGCACCACCUGUACACCAGCCCAAAGGGCUGAACCAUCUCUGGCCCAUUCCGGUGCAUGUCAAGCCUUGGUAAGGUUCUUCGCGUUGCAUCGAAUUAAUCCGCAUGCUCCGCCGCUUGUGCGGGCCCCCGUCAAUUCCUUUGAGUUUUAGCCUUGCGGCCGUACUCCCCAGGCGGGGCACUUAAUGCGUUAGCUACGGCGCGGAAUCCGUGGAAUGGACCCCACACCUAGUGCCCAACGUUUACGGCAUGGACUAC